GACGAACGCUGGCGGCGUGCUUAACACAUGCAAGUCGAACGGAAAGGCCCUGCUUUUGUGGUGUGCUCGAGUGGCGAACGGGUGAGUAACACGUGAGUAACCUGCCCUUGACUUUGGGAUAACUUCAGGAAACUGGGGCUAAUACCGGAUAGGAGCUCCUGCUGCAUGGUGGGGGUUGGAAAGUUUCGGCGGUUGGGGAUGGACUCGCGGCUUAUCAGCUUGUUGGUGGGGUAGUGGCUUACCAAGGCUUUGACGGGUAGCCGGCCUGAGAGGGUGACCGGCGACAUGGGGACUGAGAUACGGCCCAGACUGCUACGGGAGGCAGCAGUGGGGAAUAUUGCACAAUGGGCGGAAGCCUGAUGCAGCAACGCCGCGUGCGGGAUGACGGCCUUCGGGUUGUAAACCGCUUUCGCCUGUGACGAAGCGUGAGUGACGGUAAUGGGUAAAGAAGCACCGGCUAACUACGUG
Molecule: ribosomal RNA, 468 nt
Filed under: uncultured bacterium
Lineage: Bacteria
Description: partial 16S ribosomal RNA
Rfam family: Bacterial small subunit ribosomal RNA
Source: RNAcentral